UGAGGAAUAUUGGACAAUGGGCGCAAGCCUGAUCCAGCAAUGCCGCGUGCAGGAUGAAGGCCUUCGGGUUGUAAACUGCUUUUGUACGGAGCGAAAAGGUCUGCCCUAAUACGGUGGGCUCAUGACGGUACCGUAAGAAUAAGCACCGGCUAACUACGUGCCAGCAGCCGCGGUAAUACGUAGGGUGCGAGCGUUAAUCGGAAUUACUGGGCGUAAAGCGUGCGCAGGCGGUUAUAUAAGACAGAUGUGAAAUCCCCGGGCUCAACCUGGGACCUGCAUUUGUGACUGUAUAGCUAGAGUACGGUAGAGGGGGAUGGAAUUCCGCGUGUAGCAGUGAAAUGCGUAGAUAUGCGGAGGAACACCGAUGGCGAAGGCAAACCCCUGGACCUGUACUGACGCUCAUGCACGAAAGCGUGGGGAUCAAACA
This 427-nucleotide ribosomal RNA is filed under the name uncultured bacterium. Its description in RNAcentral is "bacterial SSU rRNA". It matches the Rfam family "Bacterial small subunit ribosomal RNA", at positions 355 to 774 of the family's 1533-position model. The record is from RNAcentral.